GACGAACCGUGCGACCGUUGUUCGGAAUCACUGGGCUUAAAGGGCGCGUAGGCGGCUCUCUUGGUCGUGGGUGAAAUCCCCCAGCUUAACUGGGGAAGGGCUUACGAUACCGGGGGGCUCGAGGGAGGAGGGGGCGGUCGGAACUGUCGGUGGAGCGGUGAAAUGCGUUGAUAUCGACAGGAACGCCGGUGGCGAAAGCGGACCGCUGGCCCUCUUCUGACGCUGAGGCGCGAAAGCCAGGGGAGCGAACGGG
RNAcentral lists this ribosomal RNA (253 nucleotides) under uncultured bacterium. RNAcentral describes it as "partial 16S ribosomal RNA". It matches the Rfam family "Bacterial small subunit ribosomal RNA", at positions 524 to 776 of the family's 1533-position model. The record is from RNAcentral.